UGGGGAAUAUUGCACAAUGGGCGCAAGCCUGAUGCAGCCAUGCCGCGUGUGUGAAGAAGGCCUUCGGGUUGUAAAGCACUUUCAGCGGGGAGGAAGGCGUUAAGGUUAAUAACCUUGGCGAUUGACGUUACCCGCAGAAGAAGCACCGGCUAACUCCGUGCCAGCAGCCGCGGUAAUACGGAGGGUGCAAGCGUUAAUCGGAAUUACUGGGCGUAAAGCGCACGCAGGCGGUCUGUUAAGUCGGAUGUGAAAUCCCCGGGCUCAACCUGGGAACUGCAUUCGAAACUGGCAGGCUAGAGUCUUGUAGGGGGGGGUAGAAUUCCAGGUGUAGCGGUGAAAUGCGUAGAGAUCUGGAGGAAUACCGGUGGCGAAGGCGGCCCCCUGGACAAAGACUGACGCUCAGGUGCGAAAGCGUGGGGAGCAAACAGG
This 429-nucleotide ribosomal RNA is filed under the name Chloroflexota bacterium. RNAcentral's name for it is "Chloroflexi bacterium partial 16S ribosomal RNA". It matches the Rfam family "Bacterial small subunit ribosomal RNA", at positions 355 to 776 of the family's 1533-position model. The record is from RNAcentral. Lineage: Bacteria; Bacillati; Chloroflexota.